This is a long non-coding RNA of Homo sapiens (human), 970 nucleotides long. The record is from Ensembl. NCBI's taxonomy places the organism in Eukaryota, Metazoa, Chordata, Mammalia, Primates, Hominidae.
AGAUUCCAGAGGACAAAAGGCAGGGAACAGCCUGGUCUUGGGGUCUUUAAACAGAGAGGCGCCAUCUACUGCCGAGAACCCAGUCAACAUCUCAUGGACAAAGCUGCACUAACCCCCGGCCGGCUGAGCUCUGGGCCCCGUUAGCCUUUCUUUGAGGCUCGUCCACUAAAAGGCAGCCCCAGUAGUCCCAGCUGAAAUGCUCCACACCCGAGCCCCGCUGGCCUGCGGAAGCGAAGACUGACAAGCACUCUGUCCGCGCGCUGAGUGGGGGCUCGCGGCACCGGGUGCUCCGCCCAGGCCCCAGCACACUCACUCACCAGCCUGGUAGCUCGGUACGGCCCGGGCCCCACGAUGCGAUGCUCCAUGGCGCGUAGGCAGCAGCGGCCGCAGCCGCGCCAGCGCUGAUCCCCGCCAGCCGGAGGAGCAGCAGUUUGAAUCCCAAGCCCGCGGGCUGCGGGCGCUGAUUGGGCGGCGCGGCAGCACGUCACCGGAAAUGCGCGGGGAGGCAGGCGUCUUCUCCGAGACCCGCGGCGCUGGGAGCUCCGCGUGCGAACUUGCCCGGGGCGAAAUCUGUUGCCCACCCUGGUCCCACCGUGCGAGCACACCUAGGCAGAGUGAGCUGUCCACAGGCGCAUACUUGAGCCCACUUGCCCAACUCCUAAGAUCUUAUCGGGAAGCUGCUGAUCAACAGUUCAAGUGUUUUCUAUUAGGAGACUGCCUUUCCCUGGUGCCGGCUGUGACCAACUAUUAUUUUAGAGAGACAAUUAACAACCACCUGACCAUCACCUGAUGGCUGCCUGACAUUCCUGAUGUGUGUGUGUAUGAGGGGGAGCCCUCUCCUGCCCUGCUCAUGCCUGACUAGCUACCUACUGUAACACCUUAACCAGAUUUUCUUUGUCAUGGCUUUUCUUCUCAAAUUUAUCUCUCUUUACCUAAAAAAAUGAAUAAAAGCAUCUUACUUUGGCCACUU